UUCAUUUGGGCCGACCUCAGAGCAGGUG
This 28-nucleotide ribosomal RNA is filed under the name Hetaerina americana (American ruby spot damselfly). RNAcentral's name for it is "partial 28S ribosomal RNA". The record is from RNAcentral. Lineage: Eukaryota; Metazoa; Arthropoda; Insecta; Odonata; Calopterygidae.